This 77-nucleotide transfer RNA is filed under the name Alphaproteobacteria bacterium. RNAcentral's name for it is "tRNA-Met". It matches the Rfam family "tRNA". Rfam says of the family: Transfer RNA (tRNA) molecules are approximately 80 nucleotides in length. Their secondary structure includes four short double-helical elements and three loops (D, anti-codon, and T loops). The record is from RNAcentral. Lineage: Bacteria; Pseudomonadati; Pseudomonadota; Alphaproteobacteria. RNAcentral also lists the same sequence under 1 other name.
CGCGGGAUGGAGCAGCUCGGUAGCUCGUCGGGCUCAUAACCCGAAGGUCGGGGGUUCAAAUCCCUCUCCCGCAACCA